This 508-nucleotide ribosomal RNA is filed under the name uncultured bacterium. Its description in RNAcentral is "bacterial SSU rRNA". It matches the Rfam family "Bacterial small subunit ribosomal RNA", at positions 8 to 518 of the family's 1533-position model. The record is from RNAcentral.
AGAGUUUGAUUAUGGCUCAGGAUGAACGCUGGCGGCGUGCUUAACACAUGCAAGUCGAACGGAGUUUUAACGGAAGUUUCGGAUGGAAGUUUAGAAACUUAGUGGCGGACGGGUGAGUAACGCGUGGGUAACCUGCCUCAUACAGGGGGAUAACAGUUAGAAAUGACUGCUAACACCGCAUAAUAUAGCGAAACCGCAUGAUUUUGCUAUCAAAUAUUUAUAGGUAUGAGAUGGGCCCGCGUCUGAUUAGCUAGUUGGUGGGGUAAAAGCCUACCAAGGCGACGAUCAGUAGCCGGCUUGAGAGAGUGACCGGCCACAUUGGGACUGAGACACGGCCCAAACUCCUACGGGAGGCAGCAGUGGGGAAUAUUGGACAAUGGGGGAAACCCUGAUCCAGCGAACCGCCGCGUGAGUGAAGAAGUAUUUCGGUAUGUAAAGCUCUAUCAGCAGGGAAGAUAAUGACAGUACCUGACUAAGAAGCCCCGGCUAACUACGUGCCAGCAGCCGC